UGGGGAAUAUUGCACAAUGGGCGAAAGCCUGAUGCAGCGACGCCGCGUGAGGGAUGACGGCCUUCGGUUGUAACCUCUUUCAGCAGGGAAGAAGCGAAAGUGACGGUACCUGCAGAAGAAGCGCCGGCUAACUACGUGCCAGCAGCCGCGGUAAUACGUAGGCGCGAGCGUUGUCCGGAAUUAUUGGGCGUAAAGAGCUCGUAGGCGGUCUGUCGCGUCGGAUGUGAAAGCCCGGGCUUAACCCCGGGUCUGCAUUCGAUACGGGCAGACUAGAGUGUGGUAGGGGAGAUCGGAAUUCCUGGUGUAGCGGUGAAAUGCGCAGAUAUCAGGAGGAACACCGGUGGCGAAGGCGGAUCUCUGGGCCAUUACUGACGCUGAGGAGCGAAAGCGUGGGAGCGAACAGGAUUAGAUACCCUGGUAGUCCACGCCGUAAACGGUGGGAACUAGGUGU
Molecule: ribosomal RNA, 451 nt
Filed under: uncultured Actinomycetes bacterium
Lineage: Bacteria; Bacillati; Actinomycetota; Actinomycetes
Description: bacterial SSU rRNA
Rfam family: Bacterial small subunit ribosomal RNA
Source: RNAcentral